CAAUAGCGUAUAUUAAAGUUGUUGCAGUUAAAAAGCUCGUAGUUGGAUUUGUGGUUCGUCCCGCCGGCUGGGUCAUUGACUUUUGCUGUGCUGGUCGUCCAUCCUUGGGUGGAAUCUGUGUGGCAUUAGGUUGUCGCGCAGGGGAUGCCCAUCGUUUACUGUGAAAAAAUUAGAGUGUUCAAAGCAGGCUUAUGCCGUUGAAUAUAUUAGCAUGGAAUAAUAAUAUAGGACCUUGGUACUAUUCUGUUGGUUUGCGCACUGAGGUAAUGAUUAAUAGGGACAGUUGGGGGUAUUCGUAUUCCAUUGUAAGAGGUGAAAUUCUUGGAUUUUUGGAAGACGAACUACUGCGAAAGCAUUUACCAAGGAUGUUUNCAUUA
RNAcentral lists this ribosomal RNA (377 nucleotides) under uncultured eukaryote. RNAcentral's name for it is "partial 18S ribosomal RNA". It matches the Rfam family "Eukaryotic small subunit ribosomal RNA", at positions 592 to 975 of the family's 1831-position model. The record is from RNAcentral.